UUGCUUCAGUUGUGUUCAGUCAUCCAGUCCUUUCCUGCUACACUUGCAAGAGGAAGCAAGCAAAACAUGAAUGAAAAGUCCCACUGGGCUGUUGAAGACUGGAACACCUGCAAAAAUUUGCGGCAAUAACCCCAGGGUAUUUUUGACUUGUUCUAUAUAGCAUUUGUUCAUUUCCCUUCUCCUAUGGUAUUCUGAAUAAGGCACUCAGUAUCAUCCACCCACUAGAAUAGAGGCAGAGAGAACAUAUAUGGCUUAAUUCGGGGCAUUAAAAAACAAAGCAUAACACCUAUGUACUUACUGGAUCAAACAUAAUUAUCCAAUGAUUCAGUCUUCUGGGGUACAUUUUCAAAUCUACUGAUCUCACAACUACGUUCCUGAACAAAGCAUGUAGAGUUGCAGACGUGCCCCAGAGCAAUGCUUGUUAGGUAGCUUGGAGUGUGUCGGGAUCUAUAAUCCAGGUAAAUAUUGGGGAGCUGCCUGGGACAGAGGUGGAAAGGCUUUGCCCAUUGUCUUUUUUUUCCAGGCACUUAGGACUUUGCAGAAAGAGGAAGGAAGCAGCAUGGAGGCUGAGAGCAAGGAGUACAACAUCUGACUGAGGAGGAGACUUAAGAUGUGUGGAGGUGAAAAAGCAAGCUCUGAAAGCCAAAUCAAUUGCAGAAAAGAUCCAGUGAAGCCUCAUGAACUCAGAUAUCUUCUUAAAGGUGGAGGACACAAAUAAAUGAGAUUUGGACACUCCAAGUAAUACAUACAUCGCAAUCAGAGGAGAAGAGUUCCACCCCAAUGUAUGAAAUACAUCUUUGGUGACACAGGUCUGCAAGCAGUCUGCUUCAAAACUGCAGGUACAUAUUACCUUACGGGCAGGUGGCAUAAUUUCCAAAAUGUAACAUAACAUUAAGAAAUGGAUAACCUGC
This 911-nucleotide long non-coding RNA is filed under the name Anser brachyrhynchus (Pink-footed goose). Its description in RNAcentral is "lncRNA (ENSABRG00000016994.1)". Lineage: Eukaryota; Metazoa; Chordata; Aves; Anseriformes; Anatidae. The record is from RNAcentral.